Long non-coding RNA from Xiphophorus hellerii (green swordtail), 3160 nucleotides. RefSeq lists it as uncharacterized. NCBI's taxonomy places the organism in Eukaryota, Metazoa, Chordata, Actinopteri, Cyprinodontiformes, Poeciliidae. The record is from RefSeq and is a predicted model, not a curated record. The transcript has 2 exons.
CUUUCAUUGUACUGAACAGAUUACAAACGUACACAAGUUGUUGUUUUUUUUUUAAGGGCUGAUUGUUUUAGAAGAGUUGUCAUUAUUAUUUUAAUGAUGCACUGAGUUUGGAAUCACAUUGUUUUAAUCACGCUUUAAAGAACGAAAUAAAAUCAUACUUGCAAAGCGUAAUAUGACAAAAAUAUUAUUAAUAAGAAAUUAUUUUUUUAUUAAAGUAAAAAUGGACAUAUCAAAAUACAUGCUAUUGGUUGAUGCACAAAUUCAAUAAAUUGUGACAGUUCUGAGUUUUGACGCUUUCAAUGACUAGAGAAAAACGUGAUCUACUAAUCACUAAUCUAUGCCGAUCAGAUGGAAAUUCUAAGACAUAUAUUUAUUUGAGCAUGUCAUAGUCAAUUAAUUUUGUAUUGAAAUUGAAGCACAAAUAUGACACUUAGCUUAAACACACCCCAGUCAAAUGGAAAAUGUCACUACAAUUUGAGGUAUGUAUUUUUAAGUGAAUUUCUUUCACUUGUUCUUGAUUUGUUGAUUUUGAAACAAACUUUAAUGAACCUAAAAUGAAUCAAUAACAGAUUUAUUUAGUUACAGUUAUUUUGUACAUAUUAUCCAAGACAUGGAGUAUUAAUUCCUCUCAAAUUGUCAUUUUGAGAUUAUGCUACAAAAACAAAGAGUUUUAAUACAUCAAAAAAUUCUGCAGCACAUCCUUUUUCCCCUAUUCUAGUCUGGAAGGCUGUUAUUGUUUUUCAUUUACAAAUCAUUUGCAUUUUUAUUGCUUGAAGUCUUGCGUUUUGUGCAGUGAAAGUCAGAAGGGAAAUAUCAGCUGUAUGAACAGAGCUAGACAAACUUUUUUGUGAAUCUUUGAACGUUAAAAAAAAAUUACCUAAAGAGAACCGUGACGGAUUCUAAUCUUUCCGGUUCUGUUCAGGGUCGCUGAGCAAAGGAAGCAGAAAGUCUGAAAGCGCAGAGUGUGUAGUGUCUGACAUUUUUCCUCUUGAACAAAGAAGGUCAAUACUUUCAGCCAGAAUUAUCAGAGCAAAAGUAAAAGUUUUUGUUGAGUAAGAAAAGAGAAGUUGUCGAUUUGGGAAACUGGCUGAGUUGUUUCUUUGGUGAAUCUUUAAUAUUUCACCUCCGCUGUACGGAUUUACGUCUAAAUAGAUGUUAGCAGACAACAUAUGUUUAUUUUUUUUCUCUUUCUUCUUUUAUGGUUUGCCCAACUUAUUUAACUAAACACACAGGCAUGAUGCCAUUUUGGAGUUCUACUAAUAUUUUCCUAAAGUCACUAAAAUAUUAACACUGUUAAGACUCACCUAAGCUCUGUUUUUGUGGAGUUAUUUAAGCUGCAAAACUCUUCAUUGCUUUACCCUUUGUACCUUAACAGGGACAAUAUUAAAGAGGUAAAAAUAAUAAGCUAAAUAAAACGUGCACAAAGUUAAUUUUAUAUUCCUGAUCUAAAACUGCUGCUCCACACACACCUUUGCACUGGUCUUCUCAUUUUGAUAGCGUGAAGAGAUGCGGGACAGUGUGACCACAUCUAUUUAAAGUGAGUGAACAGUGCUGAGGUCCAAUUAUAUGUAACUGGCUGAGCAGUGUUUUUGAGAUGGGUGUUUGCCCUGGGCAGCGUUGGAACGGGGCGGCAUGCAUGCCAAGAGAAGAAAGAGACUUUUUAACUACUCUGUUCUACUAUAAAUAAACUUUGUUUUCCGUUUCUUACCUGAGCUGUCAUUAAGAAAUGGGCUAUGCUAAUUGUGCUAACUCAGCACAGAACAAAACACCUCCAGUCGGUGUGACCUCAACAUGUCAGCAUAGUUGUUUUCUUUAUUUCAACAAUUGUACAACUGUUUUGGAAAAUAAUCUCAUCUUUGCAACAUUCCUAAAGAAUAUGUAUAUUUACAUUUUAAUGAAUUUACAGAACAUUUUUAUUUUGAAACUUCCUGCCUCAUGGAAGACAGAUUUUGUCCAGAAUGCUGAACUAAUACAGAUAAUGACAUCUGGCCACCUAUUUAAUCCACCUGUUACUUUAAAUUGAGAGGUUUAGUCCUUGACAAAAAAAAAAUAUUUUUUUAUGUUGUAAAACUAAACCAAAGAAAAUAUCUUAACAUGCAACCCUAAUAAAAUGUAGCAGGAAACUUCAAGUUUCGGCCUACAGCUGAAUGACUCCCCUCAGCAGCUGUUAAAUUGAAAGACCGAAGACAAAGCGGCUGUGUGUGUGUGUGCGUGUGUGUGUGUGUGGGUGUGUGGGUGUGGGUGUGUGUGUGUUAGUCGUGUCGUACUUUAUGCUGUUUUCCUGGGAGUCAGCAGUUUGCCUGUGUGUCAUCAGGGCGCCGCACAAACUCAUGAUCUCGCAACUCAUGCUCUUCCCCCCCCCCCCGUGUUUUUUCCCGUCGUGUUUGCUGUAACGCACAUCCGCAUGUUCAGCUGCACAGAAACGCUUCUUCACAAUACUUUUCACCAUAACCAUGUUUUUUUUCUUAGUUUUAAUGCAUCUUCUGUGUUUUGUUUGUUUCUCACGUUGUGGCUCUCUUCUUCUACACCUAAUCUGUCAGAUUAAGUCAAACCAAAUUUCCACCCUCGUCUUUAGAGACUUUUUUUUCCUCCUGACUUCUGUGUUGUUUUCCUCAUUUUGUCUGUUUUAUCUCUCACUUCUCUUACCUUUCUCAUAAUCUUGUUUUUUUUUUUUCCUUUCUGUUUGUCCUCCAACUCUCCUCUGCACAGCUUCUUCAGCUUCUGUUCUUUUUCUUAAACUUUCAUUUGUCUUUCUGGCAUGUGACUGCUGCCCCCUACAGUUUCAACUGAACACUGCAGGGACAUAAUCAACAAGCAGUUAGACCCAAGAAUACCAUCAGCCCAAUCUUAACCACCUUUAUGAAGAUGGAGCAACCUGACAUGCUUUUGUCAGGUGACGCUCGUUAAAGUAAAGUUUUGGACCUCAUUGACUAAAACAAAGAUGUACAAUUGAAGUAGGAUGCAGUGGAUUUAUUUUAAAAUAUUUGCGUUGAAAUUUUGAAAACUAAUGGAUUUGAAAUUCAUAUGCACCUUUUUCUGUAUGUCUUUGAUUGAUUUCUAAUGACUAUUUUGACUGGAAAAUUUCUGCACUUUAUGAAAUAUCAAUGCAAAUGUCAUAAUUCUGCCGAGUGCUUCUCUACCUCCAAGUCUGAUUUCUUUU